Triticum aestivum (bread wheat) is the source of this 115-nucleotide non-coding RNA. Lineage: Eukaryota; Viridiplantae; Streptophyta; Magnoliopsida; Poales; Poaceae. The record is from Rfam.
CAAGUACUCCCUCCGUCCGGAAUUACUUAUCAUCAAAAUGGAUGUGUCUAGAACUAAAAUACAUCUAGAUACAUCCAUUUCAAUGACAAGUAUUUUCGGACGGAGGGAGUACAAG